AUUGCCACGGUCCAGGGAAUUUAAAGAGGUAGUAAAGAAAAGCAAAGAAGCCUUAGGUAAGCGCCAAAGGUCUAGCCUGUUAGCUGGUGGAAAAGGCUUACCAUCAUCUCAAAAAGGAGACAAAACUGCAGAGUCUAGUGACACCUCAGGCGUUUCUGAUAGUGAUCCCUCUACCACAAAAAUUGUUCGGGAGGAUAUAAAUAAGGGUAAUAGGUUGCGAGCAGCAGUAGAUGCUGCUCUUCGUAAAAAGCCCAGCUUUAGCAAGAACCGAGUAUUGGAGCAAUGUGAUGCAGCUUUGGCAUCUAAUGUGCCUUCUAAUUCGUGUGGUUUUGUCUCACAUUGGAAAAUAGUGGUACAACAACUUUAUGUUAAAAACGUUUUUUUUUGUUGAAUAGGUAAAAGUUUGUGAUAUCUGUGGAGAUGCGGGUCGUGAAGAUCUACUCGCUAUUUGCACCGGAUGCAGUGAUGGUGCAGAACAUACGUAAGCCUGCUUUUUUAACUCAAAAGGAAAAAUGUUCUAAUGGCAAAAUUUGAAUCAGGAUUUGGCCGCAUUGUUAGUUGUAGAAUUUGAGUUUAGUUCGAUAUUAUUUAUCGAUUUUGAUUGAUAUGCCUUCCAUCGGUAAAAGAUAGCUCUAUCUUCUGUGGUAAUAAUACGUUUUUGUUUACUCAGCUAUUGCAUGCGGGUAAUGCUCAAUGAAGUUCCAGAGGGUGAUUGGCUCUGUGAAGAAUGUGAGGAAGCUGAAAAACAGAAGCAAGGUAAAGCUGAAUAUGUGACCAAACAUGCUAUUUGUGAAAACAAAUUUUAGUGUAGUGAACUGGCAAACAAAAUUUGAGCUUCACAUUUUCUGUUUCUAUUAUCUCUAACGACCUUGGAAUUGUAACAUGCAGAAGCUAAAAGAAAAAUAGAAACUGAGAUAAUCCACAGUCCACAAAGCUCGGGAAAGAGGCAUGCUGAUAAGAUUGAGGCAGCUCCAGAUGCUAAAAGGCAGGCGGUUGAGGGUUCAACUGGGUCACCCAAGAAAUCUAUUCUCCCCAGAAUAUGUCCGCUAUCUCGGGAAACAUCAUUGAAGGGGUUAGACAGGCCAAGGGGAAAGCUAAGUCAUCAAGCAUCUUUCAGUGAUACCACAGAAGGUGCACGAUCUACUGGUUUACAGCUUCAACCUCCAAAAGGUAGGCUGCAUAGUGGGAUUGCUCUCCCGAAGUGCAACUCUCCCUCAUCUACUUUGUCAUAAUUUUGGACCUCUAAUGAUAGAACACUACUUCUUUUUUUGUCCAGGUGCAUUUUUAAAAUCCAGUUCCUUCAAUUCUUCAAGCUCGAAACCGAAAGUGCAACUCAUGGAUGAUGUUAUUCUCCCAAGAAAGAAGACUGGGAAAGAAUACACUCCUGUGGAUAUAAAGGAGGGAGGUCUUGGAAUUGUAAGCAAAUCAAUGUCAAGUAGAACAACAGACACUGGGAGUUCUAGUGGAAAUGACUCGGAAGCAAAAACCCUUGCGUCGAAAGUUCAUUCACAAGAAGGCAAGAGCUCAAAGCAACUGAAAGAUCGCAGUGCAGAAGCUAAUGUGUUAGCAGCCUCCACCGAUCAGAAGCUUACUCCACGCAGCAGUACCCGUGAUUUGAAGGGUUUGCAGUCUGAUGGUAAACGAGGUAGCUUGACUAAGCAAGUUAGCAAUCUAAACCGGAACCGUCUAGAAAAUCCUAUUGCUUCUGGUAUCAGUCCAUUCAUUUUGUCAAUAAAUUGGUAGUUCUUUGGUAGUACUUUGUUUGUAUAUGUUUCUAAUCAUUUAGUAUGUGAUCUCCUCCGUUUGCAGGAGGCAAUUCCCGCGAGCAAAGUGUAAGUCAAGCUGACUCUAAGGAUGAACUGACAUCCACAUCGUGUGCGGGUGAGGGUGUUCCAAGCAACGGUAACGUAACUUCGCAGGAUGGAUUGCCACGGUCCAGGGAAUUUAAAGAGGUAGUAAAGAAAAGCAAAGAAGCCUUAGGUAAGCGCCAAAGGUCUAGCCUGUUAGCUGGUGGAAAAGGCUUACCAUCAUCUCAAAAAGGAGACAAAACUGCAGAGUCUAGUGACACCUCAGGCGUUUCUGAUAGUGAUCCCUCUACCACAAAAAUUGUUCGGGAGGAUAUAAAUAAGGGUAAUAGGUUGCGAGCAGCAGUAGAUGCUGCUCUUCGUAAAAAGCCCAGCUUUAGCAAGAACCGAGUAUUGGAGCAAUGUGAU
This 2213-nucleotide long non-coding RNA is filed under the name Brassica napus (rape). Its description in RNAcentral is "long non-coding RNA (BNAP_LNC008918)". Lineage: Eukaryota; Viridiplantae; Streptophyta; Magnoliopsida; Brassicales; Brassicaceae. The record is from RNAcentral.